UACGGAGGGUGCGAGCGUUAUCCGGAUUCACUGGGUUUAAAGGGUGCGUAGGUGGGUCUGUAAGUCAGUGGUGAAAUCUCCGGGCUUAACCUGGAAACUGCCAUUGAUACUAUAGAUCUUGAAUUUUCUGGAGGUAAGCGGAAUAUGUCAUGUAGCGGUGAAAUGCUUAGAUAUGACAUAGAACACCAAUUGCGAAGGCAGCUUGCUACAGGAACAUUGACACUGAGGCACGAAAGCGUGGGGAUCAAACAGG
Molecule: ribosomal RNA, 253 nt
Filed under: uncultured Segetibacter sp.
Lineage: Bacteria; Pseudomonadati; Bacteroidota; Chitinophagia; Chitinophagales; Chitinophagaceae
Description: partial 16S ribosomal RNA
Rfam family: Bacterial small subunit ribosomal RNA
Source: RNAcentral